Molecule: non-coding RNA, 95 nt
Filed under: human gut metagenome
Description: Glycine riboswitch
Rfam family: Glycine riboswitch aptamer
About the family: This family represents the bacterial glycine riboswitch.
Source: RNAcentral
AUUUCUCUGGAGAGUUUUUGACCGCAGAGGUCAAAACGCCGAAGGUGUAAGGCGAGAUUUUUUUUCGCCAAUCUCUCAGGCAAAAGGACAGAGAC